This 501-nucleotide ribosomal RNA is filed under the name uncultured bacterium. Its description in RNAcentral is "partial 16S ribosomal RNA". It matches the Rfam family "Bacterial small subunit ribosomal RNA", at positions 30 to 523 of the family's 1533-position model. The record is from RNAcentral.
AUUGAACGCUGGCGGCAGGCUUAACACAUGCAAGUCGAGCGGGGGAAGGUAGCUUGCUACCGGACCUAGCGGCGGACGGGUGAGUAAUGCUUAGGAAUCUGCCUAUUAGUGGGGGACAACAUCUCGAAAGGGAUGCUAAUACCGCAUACGUCCUACGGGAGAAAGCAGGGGAUCUUUGGACCUUGCGCUAAUAGAUGAGCCUAAGUCGGAUUAGCUAGUUGGUGGGGUAAAGGCCUACCAAGGCGACGAUCUGUAGCGGGUCUGAGAGGAUGAUCGGCCACACUGGGACUGCGACACGGCCCAGACUCCUACGGGAGGCAGCAGUGGGGAAUAUUGGACAAUGGGGGGAACCCUGAUCCAGCCAUGCCGCGUGUGUGAAGAAGGCCUUAUGGUUGUAAAGCACUUUAAGCGAGGAGGAGGCUACUUUAGUUAAUACCUAGAGAUAGUGGACGUUACUCGCAGAAUAAGCACCGGCUAACUCUGUGCCAGCCGCCGCGGUAA